ACUCAGCUGGUCGAUAUAUAUCGAGAAGAAGCCACCAGCUGUCCUCAUUGACCAUUUUCGCCUCUUCCAUCUCUAUCUUUUCGCCCAAAAAUCUCUCUGUUCUCUGGACUAGGGUUUUUCUCUUUGAUCCAUCAAAUCUUUUGACGAACAGUUCAGAAUCCUAUCAAUCAUGUCUUACGAGAAGCUCGACGGUUUGGCGAGGUGGUUCGGUACAAGUGUUGCAUCGGCGUUUUUCGCAUCCUUGGAACGAUGCUCGUGUGUGAAUCUCAACACUUCCGAAUCCGACGACGAGGAAGAGGAAGAAGCUAAAGAGCGCCCUCUCAUGAUCUCCGCCCUCCCUUCUCACCUCGAUUCCUGCGCUGCCACAACUAAUCCUACCUCCGCUGAUAACCUCCCCGUUUGAUUCGAACUGGGAUCAUGCUGCAAAUUUGUUGAAGUGGUCCUUCGGCUCCAUCAGCAUGGGUUUCAUUUUUCUUCUCCGUCAACAGAGUGGAUUCACUCUGGUAUAAGCUGUAACAUUUUAGUAGACUUUUGAUAGGAUUGUAUAAAAAAAUGUAUUGUCUGUUGAAAGUGUCUUGUAGUACAUUAAAAGCACUGGUAUGCAUUUUCCUUUUCCUUCACCUCAUCA
Solanum tuberosum (potato) is the source of this 628-nucleotide long non-coding RNA. RefSeq lists it as uncharacterized. NCBI's taxonomy places the organism in Eukaryota, Viridiplantae, Streptophyta, Magnoliopsida, Solanales, Solanaceae. The transcript has 2 exons. The record is from RefSeq and is a predicted model, not a curated record.